Paramuricea clavata is the source of this 1325-nucleotide non-coding RNA. The record is from the annotation of a GenBank genome assembly. Lineage: Eukaryota; Metazoa; Cnidaria; Anthozoa; Malacalcyonacea; Plexauridae.
AACGGAAUAAAAAUUGAUGAAAUGUUCGCUGAUUGCGGUUGUCCUCCACUGGUACAAAUUCACUCUAGUUGUGUUUUUAAGGUGAGAUGAUUUUUAUAUAAAAAUAGAAAUAUAAAAAUGCUCCUAUGUUGUAUAAAUACAGCAGUAUUAAACGUAUUUUUAUUUCAUAUCAUGUAGUUCUUCGACCCUAAUGAUCUACGGGAAGGAAGUAUAAACAAAGAAUAUAGCAAUGUUAUGUUGUGGGAGUUUGACAUUUCAACAUCACCAACAUCCCAAGCAAUCCCACUAUGUGACCCAGAUAGUCAAGAUGAUGAGCUGGAUAGUGUACUUCCACCAAUAGAAUUACAUCAGCUAACUGAUUGUAUAACUGUUUUAAUUUACCAAUAAACCCUGUUUGCCCUGACAGACAUUCAUACACACUGAAUGAUGGAAGAAGCGCCCAGUGGUAGCAUUGUUGUAAAGAAUGAAAUGAAGGAAAUUCAACACUAUCGCAACACUAUAUAUAAAUGUAUUGACUACUGUGUGAUGCAUUGCAAGGAUUUAUACUGAUCAAUGUGAUCAACCAGUUAUAUAUGCUCAAAUGAUCAACCAGUUGUCUAUUAUUUUACUCUGCCUAACGCCAGAUUAUUUUGCUGUCUAAUACUAGACUAUUUACUCAUCAGCGGGAGACUGCUGACACUCAAUGGGUUAAAAAACAUUGAAAGAAAAUGUUUAGCAGAAGCUGAAAAAUUGUUUAUUGGUGUCUGGUGUAAUACUGAUAAUUCUUUUAUUUGUAAGGAUAGAGCUGGGGAGCUUCUAAUGGUGCAGUCUUGGCCCUACCCCAGUUUUCCUAUACUGCAUGUGUUUUUGUCACUUCCCUGAUUCUACCAUAAGUAUUGUAUCCCAUGGACCGCAUCUUAUCAGUUCUGCAGUUUUUUGACAAUCUACUGUAUUAAACCUCCACCUAAAAGCACUGGGCUUAUAUUCUUUUGUAAGCGAUUUUUGAUGGGCUUACACAAGGGGGGCUUAUACAUGGGGGUUGGGGGGGGGGGCUUAUAUUCAGAGGUUUAUGGUAUGUAUGGUUUUCAUGAUUUUCAGUGUAUAGUCUUCCCUUGCUCAUCACAAAUUAAUAAAAAGAUCACACUACAUAAUUGAUGUUGAUAAAAUUUAUUUAUUUUAAAAUCGAAAAAAUAUUAACAUAAUAUUGCUGUACUUAAAGAUAAUUAAAAUGUUUUUAAAAAUAAAAUUUUAUGCACACAAUUUUAAAAUAUUGCACACAUUCAUUUCACCAGUACACAUGGAUACUAUAUGAUAAAGUAUAUGAAAGGUGAUGCUUUUGCUCUAGC